CUUGUAGCAAGCUCCUGGGGGAGGAGGUUCUGGAGGAACGCCUGGCCGCUGCGGUUCAGGCGUUUGGAAGUUGUGUGCUGGAGAUGUGGCUGGGGUUUGUCUCACCGUGGAGGCAAGGAAUUGCAACUUUUUUCUAUUAUUGUACACCUUGAAGGCGAGGUUAAUUAAAUCCUGUUGUGGGGUUUGAGGGCCGGAAUUUAAUUUUUGGAGUUUUAUUUAAUGUCGGGAGCAGAUUGGGUAAUAAAAUGUAUUUUGAGAAUAGGACGGCCUUUUGACCUUUUAGAGUCUAGGGCUGUAAAGCGUCUCAGGCGGCAUUGCAGAAGAAAAUAAGAUGCUUAGAUUUUAGGUCAGGUGAGAGUUGGAGAGGUUUUAAGUUCUUAAGAACACAGGCUAAGGGAGAAGAAGG
This 406-nucleotide long non-coding RNA is filed under the name Homo sapiens (human). RNAcentral's name for it is "non-protein coding lnc-STS-5:1". Lineage: Eukaryota; Metazoa; Chordata; Mammalia; Primates; Hominidae. The record is from RNAcentral.